AUUGAACGCUGGCGGCAGGCCUAACACAUGCAAGUCGAGCGGAGCGGCGGACGGGUGAGUAAUGCCUAGGAAUCUGCCUGGUAGUGGGGGAUAACGUCCGGAAACGGGCGCUAAUACCGCAUACUAUCAGAUGAGCCUAGGUCGGAUUAGCUAGUAGGUGGGGUAAAGGCGUACCUAGGCGACGAUCCGUAGCUGGUCUGAGAGGAUGACCAGCCACACUGGAACUGAGACACGGUCCAGACUCCUACGGGAGGCAGCAGUGGGGAAUAUUGGACAAUGGGCGCAAGCCUGAUGCAGCCAUGCCGCGUGUAUGAAGAAGGCCUGCGGGUUGUAAAGUACUUUCAGCGGGGAGGCGUUACUCGCAGAAUAAGCACCGGCUAACUCCGUGCCAGCAGCCGCGGUAAUUC
Molecule: ribosomal RNA, 407 nt
Filed under: uncultured bacterium
Lineage: Bacteria
Description: partial 16S ribosomal RNA
Rfam family: Bacterial small subunit ribosomal RNA
Source: RNAcentral